This is a long non-coding RNA of Daphnia magna, 668 nucleotides long. RefSeq lists it as uncharacterized. The transcript has 5 exons. NCBI's taxonomy places the organism in Eukaryota, Metazoa, Arthropoda, Branchiopoda, Diplostraca, Daphniidae. The record is from RefSeq and is a predicted model, not a curated record.
UGUAACGAUACUUUUAUAUGCAAUAAGAUAUGGUGUUGCAAUGGAAACAUCCAAUUAUGAUCUUGCUCCUAAUGUCAUCCGAGACAUUGUGUGGUACGGAUAUGACCACCUAGUACGUGUAAUUGCAAAAUGUAAAAAUGGAGAACAAAGUGUAACCCCAGCCACUGAUCCUGAGGCAACAGCCCAUGUUAACGAUGAUUUAGUUGUAGUUGUAAGUGGCACAGAUGCAGUACCAGUACCGGUAGUUUUAUCCGCAAAGACGGACAUCUCAGAAAAACCUGUGCAUAAUGUGAUAGCUGGGGAAAAAGGUAGCAAAAAUAGGAGAACAAUAAAACGCAAAUUCUGUUGCCUUCCAUGCCAAAACACGGAGAAAAUUCCAACUGGCGAGGACUACGUUCAGUUAAGCAAUCUUGGAGUAGGUCUCAAAGAAGUUUCAGUCUUCACCGAUGCUACUGCAAAGGAAUUGCAGGAGUAAUUUUCAGGACUUACCCACCUUUAGCUGGACACCAAUAUGUUUAUGGAAAAUCGUUCCGCAAGACUCUGCCAGCUACUUUUUUACUGGAUAUGUCCUCGGACAUGGCAUAUGUUCAGCGAACUAAUAAUGGUGCUGGAAGCAUAAUUUACAUAAUGCCCAUUGGCCGGAAUUUGGAAUUCGAUGUAGUUGACAU